Molecule: transfer RNA, 85 nt
Filed under: Bacillota bacterium
Lineage: Bacteria; Bacillati; Bacillota
Description: tRNA-Leu
Rfam family: tRNA
About the family: Transfer RNA (tRNA) molecules are approximately 80 nucleotides in length. Their secondary structure includes four short double-helical elements and three loops (D, anti-codon, and T loops).
Source: RNAcentral
GCGGGUGUGGCGGAAUUGGUAGACGCGCUAGACUUAGGAUCUAGUUCCCAACGGAGUGGGGGUUCAAGUCCCUUCACCCGCACCA